GUUCAUUAAAUUAGUCACUUGGACUUUCCGUAGUGGAGCUGAAGGUCACUUGCCAUAACUGUCAGCCAGGAAAGAGGCAUCUCUAGGGGUAGUUUCAGAGCCACUGUCUCCUUGAGUGGGAGGAGGCUCGAUCCUCCCACCAUGUUGCUGCCCUGGACAGCGCGUGCGCGUUCCUGCCUUCCAACGGGAAGGCAGGAGCGCCCUCCCAGAGGCCACAAGUUCCCCAGUGGCAACUCAGGCUUCCAUCCCUGACAGGCCAAGGCAAUUGCCUAAGCAGCUUUUUAUGCUUCAUUUUUUCCAGCUAGAAAAACAAGGACACUUCACUUCCUCACAGGGGUGAUCUGAGGACAUAUCAGCCAAUUUCUGAAAACCACCUAAAGAGUUUGACCAGAAGAGGUAAGAAUGGUCACUGUUCAUCCAGAAGCGCCAAGAUUCAAUAACAACGAUAACAACUCUAUCUACAAAACAAAUCACCAUUGAAAGCCAACCCAGGUCUCGUUAUAUAAUGUUUCAUUUCCAAGCUGGAACUUUAGUAUUAUGAGGCAAUAAAAACAAAACACAACGGAAUCCUAAACUCGAUGUUCUCUUGGCCCUGUGUCUCGCUUGCAGUGGUGGGUGGACUCCGUAAUUACAGUGGUGGUGAAGUCCCCAGCUUUGUCUCAAUUGGGCAGGCAGGAUUAGCAAAGGCAGUCAUUGGGGAGAGGGUUCCAAUGGCUUUCCUGGCAGCACGGUCACGAUUCAGCAGAAGAAGAAAGUGCCAGAAAGCCAGACACUACAAGAAGAGACUGAUAAAAAACAUUGUUUUGUAUGUCUCUUACAGCUGGCAUCUGGAGACGGCAACGAAGUUUCAAAACUGUGGAAGGGAAGACGCAGGUAUUCUCGUCAUUUGAGCCUGGUUGAUAGUAAGGACUCCUGAAUCAGAAAACCCUGAUUUUGAACCCAACUGUAAUACUUAUGGCCAUGGCCAUUGGUAAGUUGAGUAAGGCUCCGGUUUGCCCAUUUCUUUCAUUUUCUUUCCUUUUUUUUUUUUUUGCUUUUUAGGGCCGAACCUAAAAACGCAUAUGGAGGUUCCCAGGCUAGGGGUCAAAUCGGAGCUAUAGGUGCCAGCCUACACCACAGCCACAGGAAUACGGGAUCCAAGCUGCAUCAGCUUAGGGCAGCGCCAGAUCCCUAAUGCACUUAGCGAGGCCAGGGAUCAAACCCACAUCCUCGUGGAUUCCAGUGGGAUUCAGUUCAGCUGCACCAUGAAGGUAACUCCCCAGGUUGCCCAUUUCUAAAAUGAGGUCUAAUAAUCCCUAAUUUACAGCUUUGCCCUGGGGAUUAAGUGUAAAACAUGCAUAGAAUCUGUGUGGCUCCGUGCCUGCCACCCAGUAGGGACUUGCUCAUCCAGCAUCUAUUAUUUAUUACAAACGCAAAUUGGGGGGGGGGGGNGGGGGGGGGGGGGUAAGCGCACUGUGCAGUUUGCCCUGCUCCCUCUGGGAGUGACCCUGGGUGCACACUUGCCUAUAAAUUACUCCAGGAGGUUUGACAAACGGCUGCAGG
This 1542-nucleotide long non-coding RNA is filed under the name Sus scrofa (pig). RNAcentral describes it as "lncRNA (ENSSSCG00055030336.1)". Lineage: Eukaryota; Metazoa; Chordata; Mammalia; Artiodactyla; Suidae. The record is from RNAcentral.